Molecule: long non-coding RNA, 1054 nt
Organism: Cotesia glomerata
Lineage: Eukaryota; Metazoa; Arthropoda; Insecta; Hymenoptera; Braconidae
Exons: 5
Source: RefSeq, a predicted model, not a curated record
GGAACAGCUUGAUCUACCGUUUCUGCGCCUAUUGAACUUUCUGAAGAGUUUCCAAUUGCUUCACGAUAAAGAGCUACUUCGUACUCUAAUCGUCCUGGUGUUUCUUCAACAAUACCUGAUACACGCGCACCAUGAGGACUCAAAACCAGCAGCUUUAUGUCUCAAAAGUGUUGGUUCAGGUGGUCUGCACAUUAGAAUCAACUCUUGAUCUGCCAGCAUGACAACUCCAGGAAAAGCCGGAAACCAUAUUCUCAGAUUCCACACCGUGAAAAAUCAGUUACUUUCAAAAAGUAAUUAUCUUCUAAUGCAUCUGCUGGAUCAGGCCGUAUUUGACAUUGAAUAUCAGUCAGCGGGUCAGCAGCUCGAUCAUCAGCAAAGAGCGGUGAACCUUUGAAUCCAACCGGCCGUCUGAUUUUAGCAGUAAGAAGGUUUACUGGUAAUUGUGAUAAAUUACAAUCAUCUGUACGCGUGACUAAAAAGGUGUGAGUAAAGCACGUGCCUCGGGAAUCUAUAAUUAUUAAGCGUUUAACUUGGAAUAAUCGCAUAGCUGUACUCUCUCAAUCUUUUACUGCAUAAGCAUCAAGCCAAGUCACGCAUUCGCACCGUAUCUAAAUUGAUAAAAAUUCCCGAUGGACUGAACGUUAUGGUGCAGACACUUGUUAAGCCCCCCGCGGACAGUUGGAAUAAGUAGUGAAGAAGGGAAGUAAAGAAAUAAGGAAUCACCAGCCACCAGCCCAACCGUAGAGUACUGUUAAUGCAUGCCUGGUGCCUCAGCUAACAACCAUUCUGCUCGUAAGCAUAAGUCCUCUUCUUCUCUUACUUCUUCAAUGUUCACACACAGAAGAAGAUAUAGUAUACAUAAUAGUAUCGCUUCGAACAAGACCCAUGACGACUUUAGACUUAUACUAAUUCUAUGUUUCAGCUGGUCGUUUUUUUCUUUUAAUGUUACCGUUAAUUUUGUAGCAUAAUUUUACUAAUUUUAUGUGACGAUCCAAUAACCAAAAUCUAAGAAAGACAGUAGUAACCGAGUAGAGUACUAAUUUUGCUUUAACUG